This is a small nuclear RNA of Oryctolagus cuniculus (rabbit), 166 nucleotides long. Its record names the gene U1. It matches the Rfam family "U1 spliceosomal RNA". From Rfam's summary of the family: U1 is a small nuclear RNA (snRNA) component of the spliceosome (involved in pre-mRNA splicing). Its 5' end forms complementary base pairs with the 5' splice junction, thus defining the 5' donor site of an intron. Lineage: Eukaryota; Metazoa; Chordata; Mammalia; Lagomorpha; Leporidae. The record is from Ensembl.
AUACUUACCUGGCAGGGGAGACACCAGGAUCAGAGGCAGGUGGUUUUCCCAGGGCGAGGCUCUCCCAUUGCACUGCGGGAGUGCUGACCCCUGCGAUUUCCCCACAUGCGGGAAACUCGACUGCAGAAUUUGUGGUAGUGGGGCACUGCGUUCGCGCUCUGCCCUG